Molecule: transfer RNA, 73 nt
Filed under: Felis catus (domestic cat)
Lineage: Eukaryota; Metazoa; Chordata; Mammalia; Carnivora; Felidae
Also listed under: 4 other names
Rfam family: tRNA
About the family: Transfer RNA (tRNA) molecules are approximately 80 nucleotides in length. Their secondary structure includes four short double-helical elements and three loops (D, anti-codon, and T loops).
Source: Rfam by way of RNAcentral
GCCUGGCUGGCUCAGCUGAAAGAGCAUGUGACUCUUGAUCUCAAGGUCAUGAGUUUGAGUCCCAAGUUGGGUG